AGUGAACGCUGGCGGUAGGCUUAACACAUGCAAGUCGAACGGCAGCACUGUUAGUGCUUGCUCUUAUGGGUGGCGAGUGGCGUACGUGUGAGGAAUACAUCGUACUCUACUUUUUCGUGUGGGCUAACGUAGGUAAACUUACGCUCAUACCGCAUCCGACCUACGGGUGAAUGCAGGAAAUCUUCUUACCUUGCGCGUUUGAUUGAGCCGUUGUCGGAUUGGCUAGUUGGCGGGGUAAAGGCCCACCACGGCGGCGAUCCGUAGCUGGUCUGAGAGGAUGAUCAGCGACACGGGAACUGAGACACGGUCCAGACUACUAAGAGAGGCAGCAGAGGGGAAUAUUGGACAAUGGGCGCAAGCCUGAUACAGCCAGAGCGAAUGGGUGAAGAAGGCGUUCGGGUUGUAAAGCCGUUUUGUUGGGAAAGAAAAGCAGCAGGUUAAUACCCCGCUGUUGUGACGGUACCCAAAUAAUAAGCACCGGCUAACUUCGUG
RNAcentral lists this ribosomal RNA (492 nucleotides) under uncultured bacterium. RNAcentral's name for it is "partial 16S ribosomal RNA". It matches the Rfam family "Bacterial small subunit ribosomal RNA", at positions 29 to 507 of the family's 1533-position model. The record is from RNAcentral.